UCCCAAACGUUGGAAGUGCGCCUGCGCAGAGCUCGCCGAGGCGCAGGCGCGCGGAAGAGCCCACCCAGUGCGCUUCAUGUGGCGCGAGUAACCAGGGGACGCUGCUGCGCGGGCAUGCCGGGACUUGUAGUUCUCCUGGAAGAGGCAGCCGCCUUGCAAUCGGUGCGCGGAGUCUGAGCGAGCCCAGCCUAGGGAUUCGGUUUCUUGUUGUGACUAUUGCCUGAGCCUUUCGGAGAGUUCGGUAUUGUUCGUAGAGCUAUGCUAGUCUGCUUAUAGAGUGAAUUGGGGGCCAUUUCUCCUGAGAUAGGCAGGUAGGUGAGACAGUAAUAUGAAACCGGCGUGCUGUUUCCCCCUGUCCCUGAGGUAUUCUAGUAUUUGAGGAAUUCUAAGUCGGAACUGGAGAUGCGCGCCUCACUAGAAGGUUUUACUUCGUGAGACAUUUAACGUAUUAACUUUUUACUUGGAAGACAGGAAACCGAAAGCCUUCUCCCCCUGUCUCUCCAGAGGUGGCCUGAGGAAAGAAGGCAUUCCCUGAGGAGAAACGGACCGGCGAGAGAGGCUCCGGAAGCCUCAAAACAGCCAUGCCUCGCUUAAUGACAGAUACAUGUUGAGAAGUGUGUGAUUCGGCAAUUUCCUCGUCGUGGAACAUCAUCACACAACGAAAUGGGCUACAAUGUCCCUGUGGGACCACCACCGUGUGUCUUGUCGGUCCUGGACAGAAACUUCGUUAGGUGGCGCAGGACUGUACUUGUUUAUGAAGUCGCCGCUUGACUGCACAGGGUGCACCUGCAGUUCCCUUUGGGGCAUAAUAGUUAACUAACGUUUAGGGUGAUCUCACUCUGUCGGUGCUCUCCAGAUCACCCAGAACUCCUCUGGGGCUGGACAAAUUGGGUUUAUUGACUCCUUGCAAGGAGGGAGGCACCUGUAGGAAACAGCAGGACAUCUCAGGGACAGUGUUAGAAAGGAUUUACAGUUUGGGCUUCUCAGGUAAUUUGUGGUAGAGUUCAGGAGGCUGGGCUUCUCUCCGAAUCGGAUGUUUAUUAGAAGCAUGGUACCAGCUAUAACCUCCUUGAACUGGCUACUUGAAAGAAGCCUUCCUUCAGCGAUAUCACUUCUUCUAAGAUACAGAAGCCAAAAUAUGGAGUCCACAAAAAAUAGUGAUAAAUCUGGAAACAGCCUACAGGGAUCUUCACUCUGGAUCAUUCUUUAUGUUUAGCACCACCCCAGAUCUUCAACUACCUAAUAGUAAGCUAAAGAUGAUAAUACUUCAAUUGAAUGCUAAAUUAUGUUUAAAGCCAAUAUUUUAUUGGCUUUAAAAUAUUCCAUAGUCUCUUCAUUUGACCUAUAAAAUAGCAGGCCUAUAGAGACUUUGACUUAAAACAAUAGUGACAGUACUUGAACUAGUACCCAGAUCUCAUGAUUCUUAGUCUAGUAUACUUUUCACUUGGUAAUACUUAGCUUACAGAAAAAAUAAUUAAGACAGAAACUCUAAUACACAUAGUAAUACACAUAAUAAUAAUAACUCUAAUACACAUAGUAAUACACAAAACUCUAAUACACAUACCAGACUUAUCCAACCAUUUGAGUACUUCAUUACAUAGGGGUCUUAAAAAGUUAGUUUUAGGGCUGGGUCUGGGGCUCAGCAGUAGAGCACUUGUCUAGCACGUGCAAGGCCCUGGGUUCAAUCCUCAGCACCACAUCUAAAUAAAUAAAAUAAAGGUAUUGUGUCCAGCUACAACUAAAAAAUAUAUAUAUUUUUUAAAAAGUUAGCUUUAGUGAGGAAAAGAAAGUCAUAGUAGGGUUGGGGUUGUGGCUCAGUGGUAGAGCACUUGACUAGCAUGUGUGAGGCACUGGGUUCAAUUCUCAGAACCACAUAUAAAUAAAUAAAUAGAAUAAAGGUCCGUUGACAACUAAAAAGUAUUUUAAAAAAGACAUAGUAUUUAUUAAUGAAAAGCAACUAGUAACUACAAAAUUAAAUUUAUAUUUGGGUUGAUGUAGUAGACUUCAGAAGGUGCAGUGAGUCUUCCCCUAAAGAAGUUUUGCAUAGGGUUAGCCUUUGAGAAAUAGAUUAAUAGGAAUAAAUUCUUAAUUAUCAAAUUUAGUAAUAUGUGAAAAUGAUAAAAUUGUCUUUAAAAAUGUGUCACUGAGGAGAUUCAGGAAUCACCAAUUCUAAGAAAGUUGCCCAGGAAAUACUAUAUUUCAUAGCAUCAUUAUGUUAAUAAUUCCCAAAUCUGUAUUUCCAAUCCAGACCUCUCCUCUGAGUUCUAGCCGCACAUAAUGCCUACUUUGAAUUUGGUUGUCUUACAGAGGUUUAAAAAGAAUUUUAUUAUUUUCCACAUUAAAUUUUCCUCACAUCAGUUAAUGGCAAUGUUCUCUGCUCAGUUGCUUGUAUUAGAAAUCCAGGAGUUACCCUCAAUUCUUUCCUUUCCUUUACCUUUGUCCUCUUUCCUUUCCUUUACCUUUGUCCUCCAAUCCAUUAUCGAGUAUUAAUAAAUCUGAAAUUCAAACAACUUAUCUCUGUCUUCAAUACUACUAGCCUAAUCUAAGUGAUUGUCAUAUUUUUCUUGGAUACUGUAAUAUUUUCCUUUUGUCCCUUCACAACACUUAUCACAGUUUGUUUAAUUUACUGAUCUGCUAUUUACUUGUGAUUUUCUUAAUCUUAUAUUACUACUAGACUAUACAGAAAUUCUUUGAGAAUAGGUACAGAGUCUGUCUUGUUCACUCUAAUAAUCCCAGCAUCUAGCAGAGGACCUAGCUCAUCAUAGGAAAUUAAUAAAUACUUUAGAAUAUUUGUUGAAUUAAUCAAUGAAAAUUUAAUAGUCCAGAAUUAUAGCAUGAUUCUUAUAGUGAAAUAGUUGAAGUUGAGGCCUUUAUUUAAUCAAACCUGGUAAAAUUGACUGAAACUACCUACCAUAAUUAAAAUCAAUUGUAUUAUAGUAUAUUUGAAAGUGUGUGUUGAAAUUAAAACUAUACACCUGGAAUCCAGAAAGAGAGGAAACACUCAGGAUUUGGUCAUGUUUUCCAUCCAGCAUGUUCAGGAUUGAGAAAUUAUGAACCCAAAGAAUAUUGUUAAGUUAGUUAUUAGAGAGGUACACUUAUUCUAGAGCAUAGAUCAUUUCUUAUGCUUUACCUGUGACCUGAAUUAAAUAGACCUUAAUAACAUCAACCUCCUUUUUUCUGAUCAUUCCCAAGUAGUGUUUUGAUUAUCAACUUAGAUUCCUUGGUACCUUCAUACUGGGAAAGAAAUGAUUUAGACAACAAACGUAAAUAUUCUUGUCACUGGAAAAAUGCAUUUCACAUUAGAACAUAAUUCUGUGAGGACAGAAAAUUGAUCAUCACAGUUACAUCCUCGCUCUUUAUAGAACUAUGCUGAGCACAAAGCAGAUUUUUUUUUUUUGGUGGGUACUAGGGAUUGAACCCAGGGCACUUAAUCACUGGGCCACAUCCCCCCAAAGUAGAUUCUUUAUAAGUACUUGGUGAAUGAAUGAAUGUGUAUUAGUAAAUUAGGAUUAUAUUUUAUACCACAGUCUCUUAUGCAUUUUUUAUUGUGAGUCAGUCUUCAAGUAUUUUUUAUUGUGAGUCAGUCUUCAAGUGUUCUGUACUACAUGCAUUAUGAAAAUUAGGUUUCUGAUUUUGGAGGCCAAAUAUGAGAUCCUGAACUCUGGUAUUCCACCUAAAGGUCCUUGAGAUUAUUUGGUUAGCCAGUUUACCACCUCCUUUGGUAUCUUGUAAUUCCAGUUCAUCCUCUUUAGCCUAUAAAGUUUUUUAAAUAAAAAGAAAUCUAAUUGUGUUGUUCUCCUGAUUAAAAAUCAAUUAAUUCUGUUACCUUCCGAAUAAUAGCUAGCCCAAGUCUCUCUCAAUGUCCACCUCCCCUUACAAUUUUACUAUCUAUCUUUCUUACCAUUCCCCAUUCACAGAUGCUAAGUUCUAGCUGCACUGUAUCCCUUAAUAUUUCAUGAACAUGCUGUGCUCCUUGAUUUUUUCCAUACUAUUUCCGCUGGCUAGAAUGUCUUUGCCUGCUUUUUCCAUCUGAUGAACUCCUAUCAUCCUUUAAAAUCCAGCUAGAUGUUACUUUUGAAGAACGCUUUGAUUUCAUUCUUGUUUUCUCUCUACUACUCUAUCACAGUCCUUACCAUAUCAUGGGUAGCUGUCUUUGAGGUCAUGGAGGGCAGGAUCUGUGUCUUACUCAACUUUCUGUGCUUUUCCAACACCUAGCACAUGUUUGUGAAAGCAAAACCUAUAUGAAGUGAGAGAUAGGAGCACUAAUAACUAACUUGCCAACAGACUUAGCUUCUUGAGCACAACCUCCUUCCCAAGGGAGGAUGGGAAAUUUCCCAGCUAUAUUCUGUUUGGAAUAAUAGAGUAUGAACACAGUCAGGAAAGAAAUGUGUUUUACAUAUUCCCUUUAUGAUUCACUAUAAAAGGAGGUAAUAACAUUCUUCUUGACAUCAGCAGGCUCUCAAAGGAGUGAUUCAUUGUACCUUGUACAUACUCAGUACUGUGGAUUGUCACUGUUUUUAAAAAUGUUUUGGAUUCUCACUAUUAAUUGCUAAUCUUUCCCCCUUGCUCUCGAAAGACAUUGUAAUAUCAACAUCCCGCACAGUGCCUAAUACUUAUUAGGAGCUCAAUAAAUGUUUAUUGAAAGACUUAUGAAUUAAUAAAACAAAAAUGAAACUU
Molecule: long non-coding RNA, 4677 nt
Organism: Marmota monax (woodchuck)
Lineage: Eukaryota; Metazoa; Chordata; Mammalia; Rodentia; Sciuridae
Exons: 3
Source: RefSeq, a predicted model, not a curated record